RNAcentral lists this small nucleolar RNA (100 nucleotides) under Gossypium hirsutum (cotton). RNAcentral's name for it is "Plant small nucleolar RNA R71". It matches the Rfam family "Plant small nucleolar RNA R71". Rfam says of the family: R71 is a member of the C/D box family of snoRNAs containing the C (UGAUGA) and D (CUGA) box motifs. Multiple nearly identical copies of this snoRNA have been identified in Arabidopsis, and it is thought to function as a 2'-O-ribose methylation guide for 18S ribosomal RNA. The record is from Rfam by way of RNAcentral. Lineage: Eukaryota; Viridiplantae; Streptophyta; Magnoliopsida; Malvales; Malvaceae. RNAcentral also lists the same sequence under 1 other name.
AAACCAUGCAUAGGAUAUUUUCUAAGUAAUUCCUUAAAUCUUUCCUAGGCUUCGUAAAGCCCUCUGAUUGUUGAAAAGAUGUGAUAUCAUUUCUAAGCUU